This 635-nucleotide unclassified non-coding RNA is filed under the name Hevea brasiliensis (rubber tree). The record is from RNAcentral. Lineage: Eukaryota; Viridiplantae; Streptophyta; Magnoliopsida; Malpighiales; Euphorbiaceae.
GUUCGAUUUGUUGCUGUUGUAACGAAUUCUCCUGCUGUUGAGUCUGGUAGUACACAUGAGCUGGAGAAACUUGAGGUUGAUGCAAGAUCUGUGGUGAUUGCAUUUGCAUGUGCAUGGGGCUUUGUAGCAAAGGAACACUUUGCUCUGACUGGGGCGAAGCUGGAACAAUUGGCCUAACAUGUUGUGGAGGACGAGGAAGCUGAGGGGGCUGGAGUGGCUGCAGCUGGGUGACGGAUGGUAUAGAGUGAAUGGCAGGAAGAUGUUGUGAGAUGCUAGGGAGCUUUUCAUUGUGGUAUGGAGCUGAACUGCUUCCAUAAAAACUAACAGGCACUGAUCCAUGUCUAUUGAAUAACAAGGGUGGUGCUAAUGGAGGUGGAGGAUAAGUUGUUAAAAUGGGACCAGAUGUUGAAACAUUACCUGAUCGAACAUCACUUGAAUGUGCAUUGGAGGUCUGCUGAAGCUCAUUAGUUCCAACACUUUGAUUAUAAACUGGAGUCUGGGAAGUUAGAUUCGUUAAUGACGAUAAAUUAGAAAGGCUAAUUGUAUAUGGGGGUGGAGUUGGAGGAAGUGGUGGAAGAGGCCUAACAGGUCCCCCAGGUGAAGAAAGUGAAGUCCGACCGAACUUUGAAUCUGGC